CCUACGGGAGGCAGCAGUGGGGAAUAUUGCACAAUGGGGGAAACCCUGAUGCAGCGACGCCGCGUGAGUGAAGAAGUAUCUCGGUAUGUAAAGCUCUAUCAGCAGGGAAGAAAAUGACGGUACCUGACUAAGAAGCCCCGGCUAACUACGUGCCAGCAGCCGCGGUAAUACGUAGGGGGCAAGCGUUAUCCGGAUUUACUGGGUGUAAAGGGAGCGUAGACGGCGCUGCAAGUCCGGAGUGAAAGCCCAUGGCUUAACCAUGGUACUGCUCUGGAAACUGUGGAGCUUGAGUGCGGGAGGGGCAGGCGGAAUUCCUAGUGUAGCGGUGAAAUGCAUAGAUAUCACGCAGAACCCCGAUUGCGAAGGCAGCCUUCCGGCGCCCUACUGACGCUGAGGCACGAAAGUGCGGGGAUCGAACAGGAUUAGAUACCCCAGUAGUC
This 440-nucleotide ribosomal RNA is filed under the name uncultured bacterium. RNAcentral describes it as "partial 16S ribosomal RNA". It matches the Rfam family "Bacterial small subunit ribosomal RNA", at positions 338 to 795 of the family's 1533-position model. The record is from RNAcentral.